This 422-nucleotide ribosomal RNA is filed under the name Panaspis africana. RNAcentral describes it as "Panaspis africanus partial 16S ribosomal RNA". It matches the Rfam family "Bacterial large subunit ribosomal RNA", at positions 1928 to 2575 of the family's 2925-position model. Lineage: Eukaryota; Metazoa; Chordata; Lepidosauria; Squamata; Scincidae. The record is from RNAcentral.
CGGCCGCGGUAUCCUAACCGUGCAAAGGUAGCGUAAUCACUUGUCUCUUAAAUAGAGACUUGUAUGAACGGCUAAAUGAAGAUAGCACUGUCUCCUUUAAUUAACCAGUGAAACUGAUCUCCAAGUACAAAAGCUUGGAUAAAAACACAAGACGAGAAGACCCUGUGGAGCUUAAAACAACCCUAUUAUAGCUAUGUUUUAAGUUGGGGCGACUUCGGAGAAAACCAAAACCUCCGAGCACAGGGCCAGCCCCCGGCCAACAAGCCAACGACACCAAACUGACCCAGUCUAACUGAAUAACGGACCAAGUUACCCCAGGGAUAACAGCGCCAUCUUCUUCAAGAGUUCCCAUCGACAAGAAGGUUUACGACCUCGAUGUUGGAUCAGGACACCCAAAUGGUGCAGCAGCUAUUAAAGGUUCG